AGGGAUGGUCCCUCUAUUUCACUGCGCCGCCACCACUACUCUCCAAACCAAACCCUAUUUCCCAUGCACCCUAUUCAGUUCCAUUUCUCCAUCGCCUUCAGCCGGAAAACGCUUCUGAGGUUUGCGACUGGAGUAGGCCGGAGCAGAUCGAUUUACAUCUGAGCGAUGCUCCAAAAGAAACCGUCGGUAGAAAACUUCCUUGCGGAGUGAGAUGUUCCAGUUUGGCCUAAGAAAUGAUGUUCCAGUUUGGCCUAACUGCAGAAAGAAGAAGAAAAGACAUUCUGAUCUUUUUGGGUUUGGCAUGGGAGGUAUUGGAAAGAUUUAUUUGGGAUUGCAUACCCUAACUUGUUCCCUGACUUCCCUAACUUGGCUACUUGGCAAAGCUUGCGUAGAAGGCUCUUCAAUAUUUAUACACAUAUGAGAGCCACAAUUCUUACUCCAAUGGUAACACUUCGUCAAUACAUGAUGUCAAAAACAUUCAAGCAUUGUGAAAGAACUAAGUUAUGGAGAAAACAAGAUCUAUACUUGGCUAAAUUAACAAAAAAGGUGGGUAGAUUUGAUGAUAUGAUGGAGAUUAUGGAGAAGGUUGCCCUUGAGACGGCUGCUGAGAAGGAGUUAACUGCAGAGGAGCGCGAACUCCUUUCGGAAGCUUAUGGCAGUGCCAUCUUAUCUCGAAGCACCGUAUUGAAGAACAUCUCUUCAAUAAGAAUGGAAGAGACAGAGCUCGGCCACCGAAACCAUAUCGACUCCAUUCCCAUCUUCGAGGAACGGGCCGAAUUCGAUCUAUCGUCAAUAUGCAAAAACAUUGUCCAAUUCAUUGACUCCAUUCUCAUCCCGGGCGCUCACAAAUUUGAAUCCAAGGUUUUCUACCUUAAGAUGAAGGGAGAUUAUUACCAUCACCUGAUAGAGUUGAAGACAGAAUCCCAGCGCAAGGACGCUAUUGAUAAUACCUUAUCUUUCUAUAAGACGGCUUUGGUUAUGUUCCUUUUUGUCACAGUCAAUCUUUCAUUAGGAUAAGGGUAUUGUUCUGAUAGCAUAAUGGUAUUGUUCUUGUAGGCAGAAUUAGCGUCACUAAAUCCAAUCCGUCUACAAUUGGUAGUAGAUUUCUCAACAUUCUACUAUGACGUUCUAAAGUCUCUACAGAUGACAUGCACUCUUGUCGAUCAGGCCAUCAACGAUGCAACUAGAGAUAUGGCUGCCCAAUUAUCGAUUAUCCAAGUCCUUCACGACAAGGUUGAUUCAUGGAGUUCAGAGUUGAGAAGCGACGAAACCUGAUGGCAGAGCUUUGUGAUUCAUCUAAGUUUGUAGUUUUCAUUUUGCAUUUGAUAGAGAGAUGGAGUCUGUAAUUAUAGGUAGAAUGGACUACCAUGGGAAAGUUACCUUAGUAAUUUCCUAUUAACAUGGUAUUAGAAUUGAAUGAACUAGACGAUUGAUACUUUGUCAUGAUAAUAAUGUUUGCCAUGUGUUGCCUUUUGUAAUUACAAUCUUAUGGUUUUGAAACAUAGUCUCAGUGUCAGUAAAUAUUUUUUAAAAUUUCUUUCUUUUUUAUUUAUUCAGUAAAUAAAUGAGUCAUUUUUGUAUCCUUUUAGUAUAUAUCAAAUUUGGAUUACGUUUGGUGAGUGGUGCAAAAGAAAGAUUCUAUUUUGGGGAAGGAUUAAGGCUUCGUUUUUGCUAUUGCUGCAAUAAUAACAAAGAAACACACAGGUAACUUUCUAUCCGACUAGGCGACUACCAACAUCAGGUGACUUCACCUUUCUUUCCCUCAUUCGAGGAUUGGUUUCUCUCAACUGGAACAAGUGAUAUAUAUCCUAGUGCUGGUGCUGGAUUUUAUCUUCAUAUCCUAGUGCUGGUACUGGAUUUUAUCUUCAUAGUUAUAUCUAUAUUUUUAGUUUAUCAGUUCUGUAUAUCACUUUCAUUUUAUUGGCAUGAAUAAAUUUACUAAUUUGGCAUCUGUAUCAUCUGCAGACAUUCUGGCAUAGGUGGUGGCAUACUCAUAGACAACCACAUUGACCUUGGGUCGGACUCAUCUGGAUCUUGCUCAUUUUCUGAGACCUGAUUACAUACAGAUGGAUGGAAGAGUAUUGCCAUGGUUCUUACUCCCGCAAUGGAACAUAAUGUAAUACUACAAAUUUUGUUAUUUAUGAAUUGCAUGGAACCUUCCCAGCUGAAAGAUAAAUAGAUAAACCUGUUAUUACACAUGGUUAUGAUUGACGGUUGGGAAGAUCAUAUUUUUUAAUUUGCUGGUUUUGAACUGAGCGAGUAUCUCUGGCUGAGAGAUCUGGGCAAUUAACUUAUUUACGGAGCCAUCAAUCUCGUUGGCUGCACGUAUCAUGUAUAGAUCUCUCAGCCAUAUCUGAAGAAUGCACACAAAAUGUAGCAAGAGGAUUGUGAAGGAGAAGAUCAUGAUCUUGGAAGCAAAGGGCUCUGCGUUGUUCCAAUCUCGUGCACUAAAUUUGCAGUGGCUAAGCAUUGAGAUCCCUAGUGAUUGCUGGGGAACUCCCAACUUUAUGGGAGCGUUUAGAUAGAUGAAAAAACAAAAAAGAAUAAAACUUCAAUUAUAAUGUGAAUUUUGAUGGAAUCGUUAAUAUUUCGUAGCCUUCUUUUA
RNA transcript from Zingiber officinale, 2605 nucleotides. It is a transcript of the gene named 14-3-3-like protein B, with no coding region annotated. The transcript has 7 exons. NCBI's taxonomy places the organism in Eukaryota, Viridiplantae, Streptophyta, Magnoliopsida, Zingiberales, Zingiberaceae. The record is from RefSeq and is a predicted model, not a curated record.